AGUGAACGCUGGCGGUAGGCCUAACACAUGCAAGUCGAACGGCAGCACAGUAAGAGCUUGCUCUUACGGGUGGCGAGUGGCGGACGGGUGAGGAAUACAUCGGAAUCUACUUUUUCGUGGGGGAUAACGUAGGGAAACUUACGCUAAUACCGCAUACGACCUACGGGUGAAAGCAGGGGAUCUUCGGACCUUGCGCGAUUGAAUGAGCCGAUGUCGGAUUAGCUAGUUGGCGGGGUAAAGGCCCACCAAGGCGACGAUCCGUAGCUGGUCUGAGAGGAUGAACAGCCACACUGGGACUGAGACACGGUCCAGACUCCUACGGGAGGCAGCAGUGGGGAAUAUUGGACAAUGGGCGCAAGCCUGAUCCGGCCAUACCGCGUGGGUGAAGAAGGCCUUCGGGUUGUAAAGCCCUUUUGUUGGGAAAGAAAAGCAGCAGGUUAAUACCCCGCUGUUCUGACGGUACCCAAAGAAUAAGCACCGGCUAACUUCGUG
RNAcentral lists this ribosomal RNA (492 nucleotides) under uncultured bacterium. Its description in RNAcentral is "partial 16S ribosomal RNA". It matches the Rfam family "Bacterial small subunit ribosomal RNA", at positions 29 to 507 of the family's 1533-position model. The record is from RNAcentral.